This 253-nucleotide ribosomal RNA is filed under the name uncultured bacterium. RNAcentral's name for it is "partial 16S ribosomal RNA". It matches the Rfam family "Bacterial small subunit ribosomal RNA", at positions 524 to 776 of the family's 1533-position model. The record is from RNAcentral.
GACAGAGGGUGCAAACGUUGUUCGGAAUUACUGGGCGUAAAGCGCAUGUAGGCUGCUCUGCAGGUCGGAUGUGAAAUCCCUCGGCUCAACCAAGGAAGUGCAUUCGAAACCGCAGAGCUAGAGUCCCGGAGAGGAAGGUGGAAUUCUCGGUGUAGAGGUGAAAUUCGUAGAUAUCGAGAGGAACACCGGUGGCGAAAGCGGCCUUCUGGACGAGGACUGACGCUGAGAUGCGAAAGCGUGGGGAGCAAACAGG